AUUGAACGCUGGCGGCAUGCNUUACACAUGCAAGUCGAACGGUAACAGGUCUUCGGAUGNUGACGAGUGGCGAACGGGUGAGUAAUACAUCGGAACGUGCCCGAUCGUGGGGGAUAACGGAGCGAAAGCUUUGCUAAUACCGCAUACGAUCUACGGAUGAAAGCAGGGGACCGCAAGGCCUUGCGCGGACGGAGCGGCCGAUGGCAGAUUAGGUAGUUGGUGGGAUAAAAGCUUACCAAGCCGACGAUCUGUAGCUGGUCUGAGAGGACGACCAGCCACACUGGGACUGAGACACGGCCCAGACUCCUACGGGAGGCAGCAGUGGGGAAUUUUGGACAAUGGGCGAAAGCCUGAUCCAGCCAUGCCGCGUGCAGGAUGAAGGCCUUCGGGUUGUAAACUGCUUUUGUACGGAACGAAAAGACUCUGGUUAAUACCUGGGGUCCUAUGACGGUACCGUAAGAAUAAGCACCGGCUAA
Molecule: ribosomal RNA, 476 nt
Filed under: uncultured bacterium
Lineage: Bacteria
Description: bacterial SSU rRNA
Rfam family: Bacterial small subunit ribosomal RNA
Source: RNAcentral